CGUUUUUUUAAAUGUUUUUUUUAGUUCUUUUUCUGUGUUUUUUUUUUUUUUAUUCUGAAAUAUCCCAAACGGAAGCUUUUCUCUUCGCAAAUAGUCGAAAUGAGAAUUUCUUUGAACCGUUAAUAGGUUUGGCUGAACGGUGUCAUGUUAGCAUCGAAAUACAGAAGAAAUUGUUAAAUAUUCAUGUUUCUCUGCAACUCACUUCACCCCAACUGCUUGUCUGAGUUGGGUUAAUGACUCACAGCCAUUUAUCUCAAGAAUUUAGGAUGUUCGUUCUUUGUCGCCGGAGAAUAAGAGAAACUGUAUCGACGAUAUAAGUCGAAAAUUUACCGAAGAAACUUUGCUCUUCCCAAGCUUUAUUGCAAUUACAACUACCACCACCACUACUACUACUACUAUAUUUCUUUUUUUUUUAGUUAGAAUCAACUUCCCGAUUUUUUUUUCAAUAUAAGUUAUUAGGAGUAUCGACACGGGCAGUAAGUAACCUGAUAGAUUUCGAUUUUGAUCUCUUAAAUGCUUUUGAUCAUCAGCUUCCUUCAAUCUAUAGCGGUGAGUAGAAUGCGCUAAUUACACUGGAUUGUAACCAUCCCUGUUAGAUUUAUAUAUCCAACAGGGAUAUAUAGGCCUAUAUAUCUUCAGACAUCUUCUAACAUGAUAAUAAAUAAUCCCAUCUUAAGAGAAACUCUCUAAGAUAUUUCCCUAAAAAUGUCUGUCGGAGAGAAAUCUUUCUCCUAUAUUAAGAUAUUCCUUCGAAUUUUUUUAAAAAAUCAUAGAAGAGAUAUUUUUUGGAGAAAUUUCCCUACUUCACGGAAUUAUUCCCCCCGAAUAAUUCAAUAAUUCAGUACAGAAACGGCAUUUAAAACGUUGGCGAACAACCCAUAUCGAAGUCGAAAACUCGAUUAAGGACAACGGCAUUUAAGGCGUGUUAAUUCGACGUCAUUUUCUUAAUUGCCGUUUGUUUUAAACUCGAAAGCGUAAAAAUGACCAUAUUUAAAGGAGCUAGGAAAAAAAAAAAAGAGGAGGAGGAAGGAGGAAAAAAAAUCUUUCGGAUAGUUCCGUUCAGCCGAUGAUUAUCUGAUCCGGUUAACUGCUCUGGCGAAUUGUUUGACUAAUGUCGCUGACGUCGAGAUCAAUUAAUUAGUCGCCACACACGAAAUUUUCCCAAAAUGCAGAAAAUUACAUUCACGUAAAAUAUCAAUCUGCAGAUUAUUCUAAACAUUUUAAUAUUUAUUCUACGGUUUUAUAAAUUCCGAAAAUUUUCCUUCCCACCCCGGAUCCUUUCUGAUUUUUCGUGACUGUUGCGCUACGUUUAACAGACUUUAAUAAACGUCUUUAAAAUUUAACAAUUAAUCGCUCUAUAUAUUCU
RNAcentral lists this long non-coding RNA (1366 nucleotides) under Androctonus crassicauda. Lineage: Eukaryota; Metazoa; Arthropoda; Arachnida; Scorpiones; Buthidae. The record is from RNAcentral.